GGGUAAGUAGGUUGGUCGUGCCACCGGUACGUACUGGUCUCACUGAUUCCUCCUUCCUGAAGAACCGUAAUGCCAUUAAUUUGGUGUUGCGGGGAAACAGGACUGUUACUUUGAAAAAAUUAGAGUGUUUAAAGCAAGCUAACGCUUGAAUACAUUAGCAUGGAAUAAUGAAAUAGGACGAUCGAUCCUAUUUUGUUGGUCUCUAGGAUUGACGUA
RNAcentral lists this ribosomal RNA (216 nucleotides) under Glomeromycotina sp. RNAcentral describes it as "partial small subunit ribosomal RNA". The stretch from base 40 to 216 matches the Rfam family "Eukaryotic small subunit ribosomal RNA", at positions 686 to 864 of the family's 1831-position model. The record is from RNAcentral. Lineage: Eukaryota; Fungi; Glomeromycota.